RNAcentral lists this ribosomal RNA (650 nucleotides) under uncultured bacterium. RNAcentral describes it as "bacterial SSU rRNA". It matches the Rfam family "Bacterial small subunit ribosomal RNA", at positions 838 to 1487 of the family's 1533-position model. The record is from RNAcentral.
UUUCCGCGCCGUAGCUAACGCAUUAAGUGCCCCGCCUGGGGAGUACGGCCGCAAGGCUAAAACUCAAAGGAAUUGACGGGGGCCCGCACAAGCGGCGGAGCAUGCGGAUUAAUUCGAUGCAACGCGAAGAACCUUACCAAGGCUUGACAUGAACCGGAAAGACCUGGAAACAGGUGCCCCGCUUGCGGUCGGUUUACAGGUGGUGCAUGGUUGUCGUCAGCUCGUGUCGUGAGAUGUUGGGUUAAGUCCCGCAACGAGCGCAACCCUCGUUCUAUGUUGCCAGCGGUUCGGCCGGGGACUCAUAGGAGACUGCCGGGGUCAACUCGGAGGAAGGUGGGGACGACGUCAAAUCAUCAUGCCCCUUAUGUCUUGGGCUUCACGCAUGCUACAAUGGCCGGUACAAAGGGUUGCGAUACUGUGAGGUGGAGCUAAUCCCAAAAAGCCGGUCUCAGUUCGGAUUGGGGUCUGCAACUCGACCCCAUGAAGUCGGAGUCGCUAGUAAUCGCAGAUCAGCAACGCUGCGGUGAAUACGUUCCCGGGCCUUGUACACACCGCCCGUCAAGUCACGAAAGUUGGUAACACCCGAAGCCGGUGGCCUAACCCUUGUGGGGGGAGCCGUCGAAGGUGGGACCGGCGAUUGGGACUAAGUC